CUUCAAUUCUUCAUCCGUGUAAUAUCGUUUUAAAGGCGACAAGUGAUAUUCUAUUAUAUUUUUUCUAUUUGUCAAUUUUACUUAUAUUAUAUUAUUAUCACUAUUUAAUAUGUGAAUCUGCAUUUGGUGAUCGAGUUGUGCUCUGGUGGGGAACUCUUCGAUCGGAUUAUAACCAAAGGGAGCUAUUCAGAGCGUGAAGCAGCGAUGAUUACAAGGGAAAAUGUGAAUGUGGUUCAUGCGUGUCAUUUUAUGAGGAUUCAAUUCUAUCAAAAUUAACGAUCAGAAUACAUUCUGAGUGUAAAGUAUUUCCUUUUCAUUGACAGCUUUCUACCUCUUCAUGACUUACACCGCUUAUUUAUAGAAUCCUACGAUAACACUUUUCGACUCACUCCUCUCAUCUUUGCCAGAAAAGAGGCCAUGGCUCACAUGAUAUUCAGUUUCAUGGUGGAUGCAACUCUCUCCUGGGUUUUUUCACUCAUCAUAUAUGAAAUCAUUCUUGCUUGGAAUCUCAAUGACGACACGAGAUGCCUUCAAGAUUCCCUCACCAUGAUUCGUGCUGUACUUCAAGAUGCAGAGGAACAACAGACCAGGAGAGAACCUGUGAGGCCUUGGCUGAAGAAGCUCAGAGAUGUAGCUUAUGAGGGUGAUGCCGUGUUAAAUAAGUUACGGAUCGACGAUAUUCGACAAAUGGUUGAGAUUCUAGACCAAUCAGGAACAGAGGUAAGCAACUUUUUUUCAUUCUCCAAAGCCAUUCGUUUUGUUAAAAGGUUUGCAUUUCAUGUCAAAAUGGCCCACGAAGUUAAGAAUAUAAAUGAAUCGCUGAAUAAGAUUAAGAAUGAAGCUAUAUGGGUUUUGUGCUUCAAUGUUAAUGUUUAAUGCAGAAUUAAUUUUGAAUAUUUUUUAUGUAUUUGUUAGUUGGCAACUCUUGAAUUAGCCAUAUGUUAGUUUCCUACUUUCUGGCAUUUUUAAUAAGGUUGUUUCAUGAAUAUUUUGUUAGUGCUGUAGUUGCAGAAGAUACUGUUGCAGACUUGUUUGCAGAAGAUACUGUUGCAGAUCUGUUUUCAAUUCUUCGGACUUGUAAAAUUGUCUUAAAGUUUCAUGCACACUUGAAGAUACUGUGGACUGCUAUUAUUAUAUCCAAAUUGCUUUUGCACUCCAUUAAACCAUCUCCCUUGACAAAUCACUUCAUGUUUAUUGUUUCAGCACUAAAUUUGCUUGCUUCAUUUAAACUCACUUUUUUGGUGAUUUCCUUCACAAGGUAGCUAUGGAGCUUCAUGAAGGGCAUGUUGGGAGAUAUUCUUCCAUAUAAUACUUCACGAGGCACUUGAUAGUAGCAUAUGCUCCCAAACACCUUGAAAUGAUGCACUGAGGGUUUGACACCAUUCCAAGCUUCACAUGGUGUACGAUUCUUCAACGCCUUUGUUGGUAAUUUAUUCAGCAAAUAUACAAAGUUCUGUUCUUCCUCUCAGAGACACCGUUCUGCUAUGGUGUGUAUGGUGUUGUUGAUUGAUGUUUUAUGCCUGUAAUGCUACAAAACUCAGCAAAUUGAGUGGAAGUAUAUUCGAUGCCAUUGUCAGAUCUCAAGAUUUUAAUCUUCAUGCCACUUUGAUUCUCUACAAGGGCUUUGAAUCUUUUGAAAAAUGAAAAGACUUCACUUUUGAUUUUGAUAAAGUACACCCAGCACAUUCUCGUAUAAUCAUCAAUAAAGAGAGUGAAGUCUUUGUUACCACUCAAUGAUUCAGUUCUCAUCGGGCCACACACAUCUGUGUGAAUGAGUUGAAGCUUCUCAAUGGCUUUCCAGGAUUGAUUCCUUGGGAAUGGCAAUUUUGCUUGUUUGCCUUGUUGACAAGUCUCACAUAUUUGAGCCUCUUCAGAAAUUUCAGGCAUGUUUUCAACCAGCCCACAUUUCUUUAAGUUUGCUAAACUCCUUUGGUUGAAGUGUCCAAAGCUUCUAUGCCACAAGUUUGAAACACCUUGAGUGAUGCUAGCAAAAGCAUGUUCAAUAGCUUGCUCCCAAUAAAUAGUAAAACUCUUAUUUUUCAUCUUUACAUAAAUUAAUUUUCCUCAAGAAGGAUCAAAGAUGGUGUAUUGAUUGUCUUUGAAUU
This 2105-nucleotide unclassified non-coding RNA is filed under the name Hevea brasiliensis (rubber tree). The record is from RNAcentral. Lineage: Eukaryota; Viridiplantae; Streptophyta; Magnoliopsida; Malpighiales; Euphorbiaceae.